RNAcentral lists this transfer RNA (73 nucleotides) under Sphaerisporangium siamense. RNAcentral's name for it is "tRNA-Val". The record is from RNAcentral. Lineage: Bacteria; Bacillati; Actinomycetota; Actinomycetes; Streptosporangiales; Streptosporangiaceae.
CGGCGUCUACGGCGCGGCGGUGGCCGCCGCGCUGACGCGGCGGGGCGCCCGGGUCACCGUCGUGGACGCCGGC